Capsicum annuum is the source of this 106-nucleotide small nucleolar RNA. The record is from RefSeq and is a predicted model, not a curated record. Lineage: Eukaryota; Viridiplantae; Streptophyta; Magnoliopsida; Solanales; Solanaceae.
ACUUCAUGGUUAGGGCAUUGAAAUUUUUUUUCAUUAAAUCUAUCCCAAGAUUCAUAUAGAAUCACUCCAUUAAACUGACAAAAUUUUGUAAUUUUGUCUUGUAAUU